This 69-nucleotide transfer RNA is filed under the name Nestor notabilis (Kea). It matches the Rfam family "tRNA". From Rfam's summary of the family: Transfer RNA (tRNA) molecules are approximately 80 nucleotides in length. Their secondary structure includes four short double-helical elements and three loops (D, anti-codon, and T loops). Lineage: Eukaryota; Metazoa; Chordata; Aves; Psittaciformes; Psittacidae. The record is from Rfam by way of RNAcentral.
GACGAGGUGGGCGAGUGGUGAAGGCGAUGGACUGCUCUGCAUGUGUGGGUUCGAAUCCCAUCCUCGUCG